This 413-nucleotide long non-coding RNA is filed under the name Phaseolus vulgaris (common bean). RNAcentral's name for it is "long non-coding RNA (PVUL_LNC002283)". Lineage: Eukaryota; Viridiplantae; Streptophyta; Magnoliopsida; Fabales; Fabaceae. The record is from RNAcentral.
GAAACUUUACACAAACUGUGUGAGCAUUUAGUGAGGCUUAUGUCCUCUUAGGUUUGAGGUCUUAUCUUGAGUGAUUGGGGAAGCUCUCAAGUGGCGGCCAACACACUCAUCUUGGAGCACAUCACCCUCCAAGUGGCAUGACAUUCCUCACCCACCAUCAUAAGUUUUCUCAUUCCAUUUCUCCAUUCCAUUUUAAUUCCAUUUUAUGUGUUUGUCUCUUAGCUCUCUUCUUUCUUGCUCUUGGGUUUCACUCACAAUCAUGAGUAUGGUGCAUCAUUUGGGAGGCCAUGACCACCAUUGAUGUUACUUAACCACUUGGUUAAGUUCGUGUCCAGUGGGAAUCUUUCUUAGGUCCUCACCAUUAAUUAUUAAAAAUCUCACUUUUAAGUAAAAGUGUAACCAUAAAUGAAAAC